AGUGAACGCUGGCGGUAGGCCUAACACAUGCAAGUCGAACGGCAGCACAGUAAGAGCUUGCUCUUACGGGUGGCGAGUGGCGGACGGGUGAGGAAUACAUCGGAAUCUACUUUUUCGUGGGGGAUAACGUAGGGAAACUUACGCGAAUACCGCAUACGACCUACGGGUGAAAGCAGGGGAUCUUCGGACCUUGCGCGAUUGAAUGAGCCGAUGUCGGAUUAGCUAGUUGGCGGGGUAAAGGCCCACCAAGGCGACGAUCCGUAGCUGGUCUGAGAGGAUGAUCAGCCACACUGGAACUGGGCCACGGUCCAGACUCCUACGGGAGGCAGCAGUGGGGAAUAUUGGACAAUGGGCGCAAGCCUGAUCCAGCCAUACCGCGUGUGUGAAGAAGGCCUUCGGGUUGUAAAGACCUUUUGUUGGGAAAGAACAGCAGCAGGUUAAUACCCCGCUGUUCUGACGGUACCCAAAGAAUAAGCACCGGCUAACUUCGUG
Molecule: ribosomal RNA, 492 nt
Filed under: uncultured bacterium
Lineage: Bacteria
Description: partial 16S ribosomal RNA
Rfam family: Bacterial small subunit ribosomal RNA
Source: RNAcentral